AUGGCAAGAGUUGGAGUUACAAAUAUGGAAAGUUACAUCUGGGGUGUUACAACACUCCACCACUACGAGAGGAUCUCGUCCCGAGAUCUAGGACUGAAAGAACUCCGGAUAUUCGGAACGAAGGUGGUCCUCACAUUCCCAGGUGGCUUCUCGGUCGGAAUGGUGCGACCACUUCACUUUCAGGAAUUUGAUUCACUUGUUGCGAGUCUUGCGCUCAGUUUCUUCAAGAAUAGCAACGGGGUGCUCAUGAUAAGACAAAUCUUCUUGGAGGUCAAUCUCUUCAAAGUUGAUGGUGUGCUCAGGAGUCUUGAAGCACUUGCGAAGCUGUGA
RNAcentral lists this ribosomal RNA (330 nucleotides) under Triticum aestivum (bread wheat). Its description in RNAcentral is "partial small subunit ribosomal RNA". The record is from RNAcentral. Lineage: Eukaryota; Viridiplantae; Streptophyta; Magnoliopsida; Poales; Poaceae.